RNAcentral lists this transfer RNA (77 nucleotides) under archaeon. RNAcentral's name for it is "tRNA-Glu". It matches the Rfam family "tRNA". From Rfam's summary of the family: Transfer RNA (tRNA) molecules are approximately 80 nucleotides in length. Their secondary structure includes four short double-helical elements and three loops (D, anti-codon, and T loops). The record is from RNAcentral.
GCUCCGAUGGUGUAGUCCGGUAAUCAUUCCGGCCUUUCAAGCCGGGGACCCGGGUUCAAGUCCCGGUCGGAGCACCA